GAUGAACGCUGGCGGCGUGCCUAACACAUGCAAGUCGAGCGAACAGACGAGGAGUUUUCUCCCCUGACGUUAUCGGCGGACGGGUGAGUAACAUGUGGUUAACCUACCUAUAAGAAUGGGAUAAUUUCGCGAAAUCAGAGCUAAUACCGGAUAAUUUAUUGAAUUUGAUUGUUCAAUCGUUAAAGUCGGUUUUUCUUUCACUAAUAGCUUGAUCAGCCCCUCAUUCGUUAGUUGGCAAGGUAACGGCUUACCAACACUACGAUGCGUAGCCGACCUGAGAGGGUGAUCGGCCACACUGGAACUGAGACACGGCCCAGACUCCGAGGGGGGGCAGCAGUAGGGAAUCUUACGGGAUGGGGGAGAGGGUGACGGAGGAACGCCGCGUGAGGGAUGAAGGACUUCGGAUCGGUGAGCUCUGUUGUUAGGAGGGAACAAAUGUGUAAGUAACUAUGAAGGUCUUGACGGUACCGGAAGAGAAAGCCACGGCUAACUACGUG
Molecule: ribosomal RNA, 497 nt
Filed under: uncultured bacterium
Lineage: Bacteria
Description: partial 16S ribosomal RNA
Rfam family: Bacterial small subunit ribosomal RNA
Source: RNAcentral